UAGUCUUGCUUAGAUUUCACUUUUUGCAAUGUAUCCCUUGUUAGAUUAUGGUUAUAUGGUUAUACUCUGUUUUAGGAACAUCUACCCAAAAUAUUUCAAUUUUUUUAUUACUUUGCCAAACAUAUCAUGGCAUUGGUGAAAGUCAAAAUCUGUAAAAUUUGUGAACGUCUAAAUCAAUAUUCGGGCCAUUUAAACAGGGUGCGUCCCUCCUAUAGACCAGGGGAGAAGGGCUCGAUUUUGUCGUUCUGAGCAUUUGCAAUGCGUCUGCCUCCGAAGUAUAACAAAUGUUUUACUUCCACACAAAUGCACUUCUUUACUUAUUUUAGGUUUCAUGAAGUGUGUAGGUUGCAUUCUUAAUCGUACAGCUAUGAAAGUUAUGUAUUUAAACCUGCCUGCUCGAGACACAUUCAGCGAUUACUUUGCGUUGUCUGUGCAGUGAAGCAGUCGAGCUGGAUAAAUGUUUUUCUAAGGGCCGCUCCUUAAAUGGAUGUAAUGAUGCAGCCGACCACCACAGGAUGGCAAAUAUACGUUUAUUCGACAGAGGAUGUGUACAUGGUUGUAGGAAGGUCUGGAUGGCUGUCUUCUGACUUAUACAACGGUGGGAAAUCAAUAAAAUAAGUUAUGCAAACGUACAUAUUUUUUUUAAGUAAUUCGAGAAACUAGUGGGCCUGCUAGUGAUAGUGGUGGAGCCAGCACCUUCACACGUGGAGAUUUAUCCACCCAGUCAAGUAGGCCUACUCUGCGUCCAACAGCAGCGCAGUCUUCUAUGGACCAGUUUAUGCCAAAGUCAAUGUCUGUAGCAAAACAAGGCCAAAUUGAUAUUGCAUUGGCUAAAAUGAUUGCCACCGAUUUCCAGCCAUUUUUGAUCAUGGAGGACAGAGGUUUUAGAAAUGAUAGCAAUAGUCUAAAUCCAAUGUACACAAUUCCAAGCAGGAAACCCCUUUCAAAAUCACUUAUUCUACAACUGUAUAAGAGCACACAGGCUUCAGUUCGGGAAAGAGAACAAAAAGCUACUCCAGUUUGCCUUUCCACUCACUGCUGGACAUCAAGGGUAACCACUUCUUACAUGUCAGUUACAUGUCACUUUAUUUCAAGAUUUUUUCGAUGUCUAGCGGCCUUCUGGACGGACUGCUUUGAGUUCAGCGACAGACACACCUCACAGAACUUGGCAGAGGAACUGUUGAGAGUGGCCAGAGAAUGGUCUUGCCCACACAAUCAACCUGAUUGUAAGAGAUGAUCUGAAGCUGAUGAAGCCCACUGUGGACAAAGUGAAAGCAGCUGUGGAAUACUUCCACAGGAGCACAUUAGGUGCUGAAAACUAAAGUAUACACAACGCCAGAUGGGGAUGCCUGAUGCCAUCAUCUCUAGCCUGGUCAUUGUCAAUGCACCUGUUGAUGCUCUGACCCAAGAGGAAUGGGAGGUGGUGGAGGAGGUGUGCAGAGUCCUGGAACCCUUUGAGCAAGUCACUGUGGAGAUCAGUGGAGAGAGCCUCAGAAAUGAUGCUCCUGUGUAAGGGUCUGCAGCGAAUCACAGCCAGCCGCCAGAGAGAAGCAAAUGUAACCACAGGACAUGUGACAGACUUGAUGGACAUCCUGUGUUCAUCAAUGGACAGAAUGGAAUAUAAUCACGUGCUAUCAGAAACCGCUGCACUUCACCACAGGUUUAAGAAGUUAGCCUUCAGUGAUGCCAGAGUGAGUGAUAAGGCUCUUCAAAGAAUAACCUCAGCAGCAGGGAGGGACAGCCCCGGCAGUCAGCUGGCUCAGGCACCAGGGCAACAGGAAGAAGAGGGAGCAGAUUGAGCAGAAGCACGAGCAGUAGUGCCACAAACGUCUGAUAAGAGAGCAACUGGGGAUGCAGCACAAAGGAAUUCCUCAGCAGAUGCCAUAAUGGAGGUCCGAUCCUAUUUGGAGGAGCCCCUCCUCCUCUGAGCUGGUGGAAGAACAAGGCCUAUUUCUACCCACGGCUUACUACAGUCAUGACAGGGAGACUCUGCAUAGUGGCCACAUCCGUUCCCUCUGAGAGGGUCUUCUCAAAAAUGGGAAAAAUAAUUACUGAGAGAAGAAACCGCAUCAGCCCCUCGAAAGUGAGGCAGCUUGCAUUUCUGAAUGCAAAUCUCUCAUAAAAGCAAAAUAUGGUCAGCAUUGCUGCGUGCUGCUGGUUAUAACAUGGCAAUAAAGAGAGAGAGAGAGAAAAGAGGGACCAGUUUAAUGUUUUAAGUGGGAUGCUGCAGUUUUGCACAUUGUUAUUUAUUUUUCUUUGAUAUGGUGCAAUAUUCCAUUAUUAUGUUGUUCAGAUUGUAUUAGUUUGGAAUUGUUACAUUUAUAUGCAUUUUGUUUAUAUACAUAAAAAAGUUAUACUUUAAAUGCACUGUAAUAGCAUCCUUAUUUUUUACAUUUAUUUAAAUUUGUGGGAUGCUGCAGUUUUGCAAAUUGUCAUUUAUUUUUCUUUGAUA
Oncorhynchus keta (chum salmon) is the source of this 2452-nucleotide long non-coding RNA. RefSeq lists it as uncharacterized. The transcript has 3 exons. NCBI's taxonomy places the organism in Eukaryota, Metazoa, Chordata, Actinopteri, Salmoniformes, Salmonidae. The record is from RefSeq and is a predicted model, not a curated record.